Amborella trichopoda is the source of this 8372-nucleotide non-coding RNA. The record is from RefSeq and is a predicted model, not a curated record. Lineage: Eukaryota; Viridiplantae; Streptophyta; Magnoliopsida; Amborellales; Amborellaceae.
UAAUUGAUUUUCUGUAACAUAAGCUUUUUGGUGCUUCUGUGCAGCAUCCUCGUUUCUUCUCUGGUAUUCUUUCUUUCAGUUUAAUUGGUGCUGGCGGUUUGCUAUGAAGGUUAUAUUAUGACUCCUCUUGGUGAGAUGUUUUGUAAAAUUGUUGAUGAGAGGUUCCUUUUCUUCAUAUUUCAAGAAUUUUGAGGUGGUGGCUUAUGUAAUUGGGUUAAUUCUGUUCAGUUUGCUGGGUUUGAUGUCCAGAACUCAAGAAUUCAAGUGUAAUACUCUGGGUUAUUUGCAUAACUUGAUGCUGAUGGAAAAUGGCAAUCUUGAGAAAGUUGUGAUGUUCUGCACUUAGGGGGUUAUUUAUUUUAGUAUGCUGGAUCGGUUUGAUUUCAGAUGGUAUUAUUCUAUUUAGUAAUUGUUGUGACUUGUCUGCAUAUGCAGCUCGGUGGAUGGGUUGAAGGGCCGGUUGUUGCAAUUAUAGGAAAUGUGUUGAAGUGCUUAUCUCAAUCCAUUAUUUUCUCACAUGAUGAAUUCUCAGUUGAUCGGGCUUCGGGGAAACAGUUAUCUCUAUUUGGCCUUAGGUUCACAGAUGGUCGUUACGUUUUUGGGAAAACAGGUUUCCAUUUUAAUUUGAAGACAAGUUCCAAUUCUUUUAAUUGUGGUGGCAUGUAUUAACUUGUAUGGUGACCAAGUUGUGUCUGCCUGCCUUUUUGGGAUGUCUGGUAAUUCGUUUUGCUUGAUUUCGGUAAGGUAACUGGUUGAAUGCUGCAGCGCAUCUACAACAAAAGUUGGUUUCUCAUAUCCCACUCUAUCUGAAUAUAGAAGCUGAGGCCAGUUUGAAUUAGGACUGCCUGGGGCCAGAUCACUAUUUUAGCAGAUGUGCGAUUUGACUUGGUUUGAUAUUGUUUUUUAGAGGCUUGCUUUCAUGAAUAUUGGCUCAAUUGUUACAAAUUUUGUGCCCUUAGGUGUUGUGACGUGCUUUUCAUGGAGGCAAUGAUGCAGGCAUGGGUGGUACUAUUUUGAUGUUCCUCUUGAGAUUGCUGGUUUCUUCCUGGUCUAUGUUGAACCAUUUUUUAUCAGUUGCAUAUAAUUUAUUGGAUCAUUGGCACUAAUCUCGACGAGUAUAUGAAGUAGCUAUUUUGACUGGAUUGGUUAUGGAGUUGUCUUGUAGCCAUAGCGGUUUAUUGUAGUUAUUUUGGGAUAUCUACUGUAUUCUCUCACUUUUAGUUAUGUGCUUUUUGUUUAGGUUUUUCAUUUGGUACUUGCGGCAUUUCGGAAUGGUUGAAGAUAGUUGUGCCAGAUUGCAAUCACAACUUAAAUUGGGGUUUUCUCUAGUUUGGGGCAUCUUUUAUGUUACCUUCCCUUAUAUUCCACUUUCCAUUUGACAUUUUUAAUUAAGUUGAAGAUAGUUGUGCCAGAUUGCAAUCACAACUUAAAUUGGGGUUUUCUCUAGUUUGGGGCAUCUUUUAUGUUACCUUCCCUUAUAUUCCACUUUCCAUUUGGCAUUUUUAGUUAAGUUUAAAUUUGGAGUUUCGGAGAUGAGAGGCCAUUAUUGUUAUUUGUUGGGGUAUUUGAUUAUAGGUGCAUUAAAGAUUUGAAGAAUGGUAUCUGUUUUCUGGUUCAAUCGGAUGGUCUGUUUCUCAAAUCAUACCAGCGUGACCCACUCGAUCAUGAAGCUGGAAGAGAUGGUCUCAGGCCCCAUACUAUUGGUUUGGUUUUAUUUUAGUCUGAUACUUAGUCUUAAUUUCUGGAGGCAUCUAGUAGUAAACUCUCAUCUUCUGUCAUGUCUGUUAUGCCUAGGUACGAUGGCGAUCCUAUCAUCCUUUUUUGCUAAUUGAUUGUUUCAAAGUUCUUGUUUCUGGGUUGUGUUGGCCCUGAUAUUUUAUUCCUUUGACGCCUCUUAUUUUUUUCCUUGAUUUUGUUAUAUAAACUCCAAAUUGAUUGUGUUUAUAGUCCACUUGGGAAAGAAAGCACAUAUUGGAAGGGGGUCAUUUUGUCUAUGUGGUGAUCAGUAUGGAUUCUAUCUGAUUUUAUUUUGAUUUCUGCCAUUGUGACUUGGAGAUGUUCUUUUUGAAUUUGCAGCUUUUAAAAUGGCCUAAAGCUUUCAUUUUCCUUUUUCUUGUUAUUGAUUUAUGGUUUUACAGUUGGGUAUUCUUCUUUGGGGCAAAUUUCCUCCUAUUUAUCUCCAUCCCUGAAUAUUUUUAAAUUGGUGGCAUGGUAUGGAACUAUAGAGACUGAAUGUCCUUAUCGCCUGAAGUUUGCUGUUUUGAUACUAUGAGAAGUAGUUUGUCAAAUUGCAUCGCAUUGUUUCCAUGGCUCUGUAUCGUCCUGAAAUGAAACUGGUGUUUUAUGUGGUGUUCAAUGAUUGUCCUAACGAUUCCGGAUUUUGGAUCUCUCUUGUUCAACUAUUCAAAACCAAUAAUUGUUUGUGAUGUUCUUUGCUUCUUGGUUCUUUUCUUAUGAAUUUUUUGGUUUUAUUUGUUCCUUAGUGACCUUUCCUAGGUUCUCUUAUAGUCCUCUAUGGUUCAUGUAUUUGUAUUGUCUUGUCGGGGUUUAUAUUUUUUAACUAGUGUGUUUUAUUUUUGAAUCUUUUCUGUUUUGUGCUUUUUUUUAUUAUUUAGCGGAUUUAAGUUUUUAUUUUUAAUUUGUGCUACUCUGUCUUUUCACUCUCUGGAUUUCUGAAUAUGUUGCUAAUGAUGGGUUUUUCGCUUUUAAUUAUUUUUGGUGCAUCUCUCAACUAUUAAUUUUUUGGGUUUCUUAAUUUUUUAGGGAGGAUCAAUCCUUCCUGAUUCUUGAGUUAGUUUAGUUUCUUGGAAAUUGAAAUCACAGAGUUUCUUAGGGGGCCCUCUCAUUUUUUUGAUAUUUAAUACCGUGGGUAUUAUGUCUUUCUUUCUUAGCCUUUUUGUGUAUUUUUUUUGUUCAUCCUUUAUACUUGAAAGAGAUUCUCCAUUCUUCUCCUAGAAACGUUUUUGUGUUCUAAACUUUUGAAUGUAUAGGGUUGUGUUUGUAGUAUUGUAGUAGGAUGUCCAUUUUAAGGAUUUUGAUUCUAAUAAGGGCUUCAUGUUGUUAUUUUAGUUUUUCCAUUUGGACUUUGCUAUUUUUAUUGGUGCUUGCAGAGUAAAUGGUACUAAUGGUCAAUUACAGUGUUAUUAUUCUAUGAAGGUUGAGUCUGAAGAUAUUUUUGUAGUGGUUCUGGGUGUUCAUUGAAUUAAUCUUUUGAAAUUUGAACAACAAUCUGUGCUCACCACUUGUUAACUUGGAUAGUUCUUUAUGUAGGAUCUUGACUUUGUGUUCCUCAAUGACAUCCUCUUUGAUUCACUGUGUUUUUUGGCUUAUAGUGCUUGCUAUUGGGGUUGUAGUCUGUCAAAAUUGGAAGUGAUUCGAGUUCAUGGGUCUCAAAAUAAUGCCCUUAAUUUUUGGGAGAUCGGUCCAUCUGCUUCUAAAGCUGCUUGUUUACGUCUCCAGUUCUCUCUACGUUUGGAGUUUUUCGUAGCUUUUGCUAUGAACUCGAUGUUGAUGACCUUUGGGAAGUGGUUCUUUUAUUGAAUAUGCUUUAUUUUUAAUGGGCCAUUAGUUUGCUGUUCAUUUUGAUCUAUAGAUGUUUUCUGCGUCUGCAGCGUUUUUUUAUCGGAUGGGCUGAGGCACAGAUGUUUAGUUGCAGCUGAUGUCUUCAACAUGUUGAAUUGCUGGUCUCUAGUCAUGGAUUACGAUUAUUACCUCUCAUAGGGUUCAAAACUCUAAUUGAUGACCUUUGGGAAGUGGUUCUUUUAUUGAAUAUGCUUUGUUUUUAACGGGCCAUUAGUUUGCUGUUCAUUUUGAUCUAUAGAUGUUUUUUGUGUUUGCAACGUUUUUUUAUAGGAUGAGUUGUGGCACAGAUGUUUAGUUGCGACUGGUGUCUUCAACAUGUUGAAUUGCUGGUCUCUAGUCAUGGAUUCACCUAUGAUUAUUACCUCACAUAGGGUUCAAAACUCUUCUUGAUGACCUUUGGGAAGUGGUUCUGUUGUUGAAUAUGCUUUGUUUUUAGUGGGCCAUUAGUUUGUUUUUAGUGGGCCAUUAGUUUGCUGUUUUUAGUGGGCCAUUAUUACCUCACAUAGGGUUCAUGUUCUAGUUUGAGGCAUUUAUUUGGUUAUACGGUGAUGAUGAUAGCAUGAGAAUGAUUUCUUUCAUUUUAUGGGGUGAAUGAUGGUAGGUAGUCCAUCAUGGAAGAAAAUUGGCCGACUACCUCUUUGACUUUCGUCAGUGUUGGAUUUUGAGCCUAAAUUGGUGUGAUUACCUCAAUCAUAUCUCAUUUGGUUUACUUUCUUUUAGGAGAUCUUUCAUUCAAAUUAUAGUAGCGAAGUAUUUGUUGAAAUAUUGUAUGCUCAGGGCUGUGUUCAACUGUUCUCCCUGAAAUAAUUUCUUGGUGAAGACAAAUGCAAUAUUAUUAGGUGGCUGUUUGAAUUGUUCCAUCACUUUUGGGGUUUUUGCUUUUCUCCUGUUCUUUUUGUUAUUUGGUUGACAUAUUUGUUUGGGAAUUUUGGGCAGAAUCAAUUUGGCAUAGUAAUAUACGUUUGCUCUUUGAUUGUGAAGUCUUCUUAGGUACCAUGGUGAUUUGCCCUUGUGAUCGGUGGCACAUAUUGGACUGCCCCUGUAGCCGGUGGCACACAUUGGACCGUUUUAAGUUUGUUCUCUAGCAGUAUGGCUUGAUGUAUCUGGAUUCAGCUUUGGACCUUCUUUCUUGUUGGCUAGCCUGGAAUUGGUCUUUGUUAAUUAUAUGAUGAUACCCUUAUGUCCUGGCGGUUCUGUAGGUGGGGGAGCUAUAUAUGCAUUGGUUGUUUGUCCAAUGGGCUCCAUGGCAUACAUCUGCUGGUCGGGCUCUAUUUGGUUUGUUUUGAUUAUAGUAAAGUGUUUGGGAUCUCUCAUAGGUAUGUAUAAUGUAUAUACACUGGCUGUUGUUAUGUUCAGGGUUUAGGGUGCACCCUGGUGCUAGCAACCAUAUUAUGAGCUAACUUGUAUUUCAGUUUCCUGUUGCAUUUUGUUGGAUGGCUGGCAGUUAGGUUUCUAUAUUCUGUCUGACUGGAAGAUGCGGACAGUAAGAGGCGACAACAUUCAAAUGUUAGAAACAUAGUGUGCCAUUUGCAGAGCUCUGGUGAAUGGGUUUAUGCUUUAUAUCUUUGGAUGUCAAUUUCAUUGAUGAUACAUUCUGUAAUGGCUUUCUGCCUGAUCUAUGAGGUGUCUUGGUAGUUCCAUCUUUCGUGUCUAAAACAGUGACUCUCUAGUGGUGGACCAGGAAGUGCCAACACACAUGGGAUGGGGACGGGUGCACAAGGUUAUUAAUUGAGAUCUAGUUGCAAAGUGAUAGAUGGUUUGAUUUGUACCUCUUACCUUGACCUAUUUGAAUUGCAGUUGUCUGAGUUGUUUAGUGAUCCUUUAAUCUCUACGUUCUUUUAGUCACCAUUUGGUUUGAGAUGGAAUGAGGACUAAAAGUCUCAUGAGAUGUGCAUUUAUUGGUUUUUCAGAGAUCGAAGGUGGAAGAGGAGGGAUUUGGUGACGUGCAUCACUCUUUUUUAUUGGUGGUUUCUUUUAUGCAGGAUUUUCUUUAGCUGAUGUGCCUGUUGGAGCCAUUUUAUGUCAGUCCAUAACUAUUUAAGAUUAUAUUAUUCACUUUUAAUAAGCUUUUGACAAUAUGCUAUGCUUUUUUCUUCAGUAUCUGGGCUUUGCCUCUUUAUUCCAGGUUUAUUAUUUUCCUUGAGAUUUGUAUUUGUAUGGUUAGAUUAUUUUCUUUGGCUUUGGGCGGAAUCUGUUUGGUAUAGUUAUACACUUUUCCUCUUUGUUUGUAAAUGUUUAUAUGUUGAUACAGAAGUCUUAAUUUGCAUUGACUGUUCUCCUUAGGUAAGCUGAUGAUUUAGCCUUGUAAUCGGUGGUACACAUUGGACUGUUUCGAGUUUGUUAUCUGCAGUGUGGUUUGAUUUAUUUGGACCCAACUUUGGACCUUCUUUCUUGUUGUCUAGCCUAGAGUUGCUCUUUUUAAAUUAUAUGACUAUACGUUUGUGUCCUGACAAUGCUGUAGGUGGGGGAGCUAUAUAUCAAUUUAUUGUUUGCCCAAUGGGAUCCAUUGCAUAUUGCUGCUGUGUGGGCUCUAUUUAGUAUGAUUUAAUUAUAGUUUAGUGUUUUGGACCUCUCAAAGGUAUAUACAUUGGCUGCUAUGUUGGGGGUUUAGGCUGCAUCAUGGUGGUAGCAACCAUAUUGUUAGUUGAUUUGUAUUUUUAAAUUUUAUGAUUAUACGUUUGUGUCCCGACAAUGUUGUAGGUGGGGGAGCUAUAUAUUAAUUGAUUGUUUGCCCAAUGGGAUCCAUUGCAUACUGCUGUUGUGUGGGCUCUAUUCAGUAUGACUUAAUUAUAGUUUAGUGUUUUGGAUCUCUCAAAGGUAUAUACAUUGGCUACUAUGUUGGGGGUUUAUCUGCAUCAUGGUGGUAGCAACCAUAUUGGUAGUUGAUCUGUAUUUUAGUUAUUUUGCUGGAUGACUGGCAGUUGGGUUUCUAUAUGCUUUCUGACUGGAACAUGCAGACUGUUUGUGCGGACUGUUUGAGGUGACGGGAGUGCCAGGAACAUCGUUUACCAUUUAUAGAGCUCUGAUGAAUGGUCGUAAGUUAUCCUUGAUCUCUUUGGAUGUCAAUUUCAUUGAUGAUACAGUCUGUAUUGGUUUUCUGCCUGAUCUACGAGGUGUCUGGGUAGCUCCAUCUUUGGAGUCUGUAACAGUGAAAUCUCCAGUGGUGGACCAGGAGCGCCAAUACAUGGGGACGGGUUCAUUGGGUUGUUAAUUGAGAACUGGUUGCAAUGUUGAGGAUGGUUUGAUCUGUGCCUCUUGUGCUGACCUUUCAUGUGAAUUGUAGUUUUCAGAGUUUAGUGUUGGUUUGAUUUAUACGUUCUUUUAGUUACAGUUUGGUUUGAGAUGGAAAGAGGAUCAAAAGUCAAUUGAGAUAUGCAUUUUUUGGUUUUUCAGAUAUUGGAGGUGUGGAAUAAAGGAGAUUUGGUGGUGUUGUUCAUUCACUCUACUUUUUUAUUGGUGGUUCCUUUAAUUCAGGAUUUCUUUAGUUGGGCUCCUGUAGGAGCUGUUGUAUAUUGGUCCCUUACUAUACUCGAUGCUAUUCUCUCUCUUAAAAUAAGCUCUUGACACUAUGUUUUGUUUGUUACUUUGGUAUCUGGGCAUUACCUAUUUAUUCUAUGUUUAUUUUGUUUUCAUUGAGAUUUGUGUUUGUAUAGUUUGAUUAUCAUCUUUAGCUUCAACACAUUUUGUUAUCUGUUUUUUUUUAUUUGUGAUUGUGAAGUCUUAGUUUGCAAUGACUAUUCUCCUUAGGUGCCAUGGUGAUUGGUCCUUGCAGAUGGUGCCACACAUGGGGCCGUUUCGAUUUUGUUGUCUAGCAGUGUGGUUUGAUUUAUCUGGAUUCAAUUUUGAACCUUUCUUGUUGGCAAGCCUAGAGCUGCUCUCUGUUAAUUGUAUGAUGAUACUCUUGCGGCUUGGCGAUGCUGUAGGUGGGGGAGCUAUAUAUCGAUUAGUCGUUUGCUUAAUGGGCUCCAUGGCAUACGGCAGCUGGGUGGGCUCUAUUUGGUAGGUUUCUAUUCUAUAUACUUUCUUGCUGGAAGAUAUGUGGACAGUAUGAGGUGGCGAGAGUGCCAAGAACAUUCAAAUAUCAGAAACAUGUGUGCCAUUUAUGGAGCUCUGUUGAAUGGGUGUAAGUUAUCCUUGAUAUCUUUGGAUGUCAAUAUCAUGGAUGAUACACUCUAUAUUGGCUUUCUGCUUGAUCUAUGAGGUGUGUAGGUAGUUCCAUCUUUGGUGUCUGUAAUAGUGGCUCUUUUGGACAAAUGGAAUGGGGUCGUGUGCACAUGGUUAUUAAUUGAGAUCUGGGUGCAAAAUUUUGUUUGAUUUGCGUCUUCCCCUGACCUAUUUGACUUACAAUUGUCUUAGUUGUUUAGUGUUGGAUUGAUUUUUCUAGCGACCUGUAGUGUUGGAUAGAUUCUUCUAUCGACCUUUUGGUUUCAGAUGGAAUGAGCAUGAAACUUUACCUGAGAUCUUUAUUUAUUGGAUUUUCAGAGGACGGAGGUGGAAGAGAAGGGAUAUGGUGAUGUUGUCCGUUCUUUACAGUUUUGUACGGUGAUAUACUUUUUGCUCAUUGGUUGUAAAUGAUUAUAUGUUGAUUGUUAAAUCUUGAUUUGUAUUGAUUGUUCUCCUUAGGUGCCAUGAUGAUUUGCCCUUGUAAUCGGUGGGGAACACAUUGGACUGUUUCGAGUUUGUUGUCUAGCAGUGUGGUUUGAUUUAUUUGGGCCCAACUUUGGACCUUCUUUCUUGUUGUCUAGCCCAAAGUUGAUCUUUGUUAAUUAUAUGAUUAUACGCUUGUGUCU